This 589-nucleotide ribosomal RNA is filed under the name uncultured bacterium. RNAcentral's name for it is "partial 16S ribosomal RNA". It matches the Rfam family "Bacterial small subunit ribosomal RNA", at positions 355 to 1375 of the family's 1533-position model. The record is from RNAcentral.
UGGGGAAUUUUGGACAAUGGGCGAAAGCCUGAUCCAGCAAUGCCGCGUGUGUGAAGAAGGCCUUCGGGUUGUAAAGCACUUUUGUCCGGAAAGAAAUCCUUGGCUCUAAUACAGUCGGGGGAUGACGGUACCGGAAGAAUAAGCACCGGCUAACUACGUGCCAGCAGCCGCGGUAAUACGUAGGGUGCAAGCGUUAAUCGGAAUUACUGGGCGUAAAGCGUGCGCAGGCGGUUUGCUAAGACCGAUGUGAAAUCCCCGGGCUCAACCUGGGAACUGCAUUGGUGACUGGCAGGCUAGAGUAUGGCAGAGGGGGGUAGAAUUCCACGUGUAGCAGUGAAAAUGCGUAGAGAUGUGGAGGAAUACCGAUGGCGAAGGCAGCCCCCUGGGCCAAAUACUGACGCUCAUGCACGAAAGCGUGGGGAGCAAAACAGGAUUAGAUACCCUGGUAGUCCACGCCCUAAAACGAUGUCAACUAGUUGUUGGGGAUUCAUUUCCUUAGUAACGUAGCUAACGCGUGAAGUUGACCGCCUGAGGAGUACGGUCGCAAGAUUAAAACUCAAAUGAAUUGACGGGGUCAUAGCUGUUUCCU